RNAcentral lists this ribosomal RNA (305 nucleotides) under uncultured bacterium. Its description in RNAcentral is "bacterial SSU rRNA". It matches the Rfam family "Bacterial small subunit ribosomal RNA", at positions 333 to 635 of the family's 1533-position model. The record is from RNAcentral.
GGCACCCUACGGGGCGCAGCAGUGGGGAAUAUUGCGCAAUGGGGGAGAGGCUGAACCAGCCAAGUCGCGUGAGGGAUGACGGCCCUACGGGUUGUAAACCUCUUUUGUCGGGGAGCAAGACCCGCCUCGUGCAGGCGGAGCGAGAGUACCCGAAGAAAAAGCAUCGGCUAACUCCGUGCCAGCAGCCGCGGUAAUACGGAGGAUGCGAGCGUUAUCCGGAUUUAUUGGGUUUAAAGGGUGCGCAGGCGGACCAUCAAGUCAGCGGUAAAAUCGUGGGGCCCAACCCCAUCCCGCCGUUGAAACUG